Molecule: ribosomal RNA, 406 nt
Filed under: uncultured bacterium
Lineage: Bacteria
Description: partial 16S ribosomal RNA
Rfam family: Bacterial small subunit ribosomal RNA
Source: RNAcentral
AUUGAACGCUGGCGGCAGGCCUAACACAUGCAAGUCGAACGAGUGGCGGACGGGUGAGUAAUGUCUGGGAAACUGCCUGAUGGAGGGGGAUAACUACUGGAAACGGUAGCUAAUACCGCAUACCAUCGGAUGUGCCCAGAUGGGAUUUGCUAGUUGGUGGGGUAACGGCUCACCAAGGCGACGAUCCCUAGCUGGUCUGAGAGGAUGACCAGCCACACUGGAACUGAGACACGGUCCAGACGCCGACGGGAGGCACAAGUGGGGAAUAUUGCGCAAUGGGCGAAAGCCUGAUACAGCCAUGCCGCGUGUAUGAAGAAGGCCUUCGGGUUGUAAAGUACUUUCAGCGGGGAGGCGUUACCCGCAGAAGAAGCGCCGGCUAACUCCGUGCCAGCAGCCGCGGUAAUUC